This 742-nucleotide long non-coding RNA is filed under the name Mytilus galloprovincialis (Mediterranean mussel). The record is from RNAcentral. Lineage: Eukaryota; Metazoa; Mollusca; Bivalvia; Mytilida; Mytilidae.
AUGAUACGCAUAUCUAUGUGGACGAAUUUAUCAACGACUGGUUAACGGGCAAUUUGGGAACAGCAUUAGAGGCUGUUACAUUAUUCCAUCAUCUUGAUGUUGAUAACAGUGGCUAUAUCAGCGAGAAUCCAGAUAUGCCCUUCAUUAUGCACUUCUUUGACAGAGAUCGUAAGUAACUUUUUUACUGGAAGUUACCUGUAAAAAAAUGAGUACAUCAUGCAACUCUGUUGGGUUUCAAAGACAUAAUUGGUUCUGCUUUACAAUCCAAUAUGGCGGCAGACACCCAUACUACAUUAAAAGUAAAGAAUUUAGGUUUGAUUAAGUUUGACAAAAUAAAAUUUUCUAAAGAGAUGGAAUAUGUGACUUUGAAAUUUCUCUACUUUUAAGGUAGGCCGGGUGUCUUUCGCCAUCUUGAACAAGGAUUUGAUAGUAUUUCAAAAUAUGGCUUUUCAAACUACAUGUUUAAUUAAACAAUUAAAGAAAAGUAAGGGUUCGCGGGGAUUUUUUUUAUGGCACUAAAUGGAUAAAAUCAGAGGAAUCCGAAUAUCUGACAAAAAUAUAAAAAAAAAAACAAGAGGAGCAAAUAACCCUUAGUAUUCUGUUUAAUUUCAUAUAAUAUCUAUUUUUCAGUUGAUGGACAUAUAAGUCAAGCAGAAUUUGUUAUCCAGUGGGUGAAGAUUAAAAACUCUUAGAAAUCAUGACAACGGAAUAUUUCUACCUCAAUAAAUACAAGUUCUUCCUG